Molecule: ribosomal RNA, 500 nt
Filed under: uncultured haloarchaeon
Lineage: Archaea; Methanobacteriati; Methanobacteriota; Halobacteria; Halobacteriales; Halobacteriaceae
Description: bacterial SSU rRNA
Rfam family: Archaeal small subunit ribosomal RNA
Source: RNAcentral
UUCCGGUUGAUCCUGCCGGAGGCCAUUGCUAUCGGAGUCCGAUUUAGCCAUGCUAGUUGCACGGGUUUAGACCCGUGGCGAAAAGCUCAGUAACACGUGGCCAAGCUACCCUGUGGACCGGAAUAACCUCGGGAAACUGAGGAUAAUUCCGGGUAACGCUCCCCCACUGGAAUGUGGGGAGCUGGAAACGUUCAGGCGCCACAGGAUGCGGCUGCGGCCGAUUAGGUAGACGGUGGGGUAACGGCCCACCGUGCCCAUAAUCGGUACGGGUUGUGAGAGCAAGAGCCCGGAGACGGAAUCUGAGACAAGAUUCCGGGCCCUACGGGGCGCAGCAGGCGCGAAACCUUUACAUUGCACGACAGUGCGAUAGGGGGACUCCGAGUGCGAGGGCAUAGAGCCCUCGCUUUUCUGUACCGUAAGGUGGUACAGGAAGAAGGGCUGGGCAAGACCGGUGCCAGCCGCCGCGGUAAUACCGGCAGCCCGAGUGAUGGCCGAUUUUA